Molecule: ribosomal RNA, 253 nt
Filed under: uncultured bacterium
Lineage: Bacteria
Description: partial 16S ribosomal RNA
Rfam family: Bacterial small subunit ribosomal RNA
Source: RNAcentral
UACGUAGGGGGCAAGCGUUGUCCGGAUUUAUUGGGCGUAAAGAGCUCGUAGGCGGUUUGUCGCGUCUGCUGUGAAAUCCCGAGGCUCAACCUCGGGCUUGCAGUGGGUACGGGCAGACUAGAGUGCGGUAGGGGAGACUGGAAUUCCUGGUGUAGCGGUGGAAUGCGCAGAUAUCAGGAGGAACACCGAUGGCGAAGGCAGGUCACUGGGCCGCAACUGACGCUGAGGAGCGAAAGCAUGGGGAGCGAACAGG